UUUUUUGUACUCAUAUUUUUUUAGGAUUCAAGUCGGAUUCAUGAGUCGACAAGUUGACAUGCAUCAUGCUUAGCGUUCAAGCUGGAAUCUAGUUCAAGGUGUUCGAGAUUUAAUCUAUAAACAAGUCUAGAGUGAACAUUGUUCGAGCCGAGACUGACGCCAGAGUUCAUAGUGCUCUAGCCAUUAUAGAGUAGGUCGAGGGCUAUUAGGGUUCACAUUGGGACCUAAGUCGUGACUCUCAAGGUCAUUUA
RNAcentral lists this long non-coding RNA (251 nucleotides) under Populus trichocarpa (black cottonwood). RNAcentral's name for it is "long non-coding RNA (PTRI_LNC000215)". The record is from RNAcentral. Lineage: Eukaryota; Viridiplantae; Streptophyta; Magnoliopsida; Malpighiales; Salicaceae.